Molecule: ribosomal RNA, 490 nt
Filed under: uncultured bacterium
Lineage: Bacteria
Description: partial 16S ribosomal RNA
Rfam family: Bacterial small subunit ribosomal RNA
Source: RNAcentral
AUUGAACGCUGGCGGCAGGCCUAACACAUGCAAGUCGAACGGUAACAGGAAGAAGCUUGCUUCUUUGCUGACGAGUGGCGGACGGGUGAGUAAUGUCUGGGAAACUGCCUGAUGGAGGGGGAUAACUACUGGAAACGGUAGCUAAUACCGCAUAACGUCGCAAGACCAAAAAGGGGGACCUUCGGGCCGCUUGCCAUCGGAUGUGCCCAGAUGGGAUUAGCUAGUAGGUGGGGUAACGGCUCACCUAGUCGACGAUCCCUAGCUGGUCUGAGAGGAUGACCAGCCACACUGGAACUGAGACAAGGUCCAGACUCCUACGGGAGGCAGCAGUGGGGAAUAUUGCACAAUGGGCGCAAGCCUGAUGCAGCCAUGCCGCGUGUAUGAAGAAGGCCUUCGGGUUGUAAAGUACUUUCAGCGGGGAGGAAGGGAGUAAAGUUAAUACCUUUGCUCAUUGACGUUACCCGCAGAAGAAGCACCGGCUAACUCCGUG